RNAcentral lists this long non-coding RNA (647 nucleotides) under Pongo abelii (Sumatran orangutan). Its description in RNAcentral is "lincRNA". The record is from RNAcentral. Lineage: Eukaryota; Metazoa; Chordata; Mammalia; Primates; Hominidae.
UCCCUAGCUGCAAUUAAGUUCCAACAUAGCCCAAUUUGAAAGAGAUUGAGAAACCACAGUUCUCAUUAAGAAUAUUCAUGAGUUUGCACCUUGAAAAGCCAGCAAUCACAUGAUGUGCCAGAAUGGACAAGAUCAUUUGAGAAGAGAAAAAAAAAAAAAGAUGCAAUUUAAAAUAAGUUACCAGAGAAGAUUAUUUUACCUCGGUCUGGCCAAUUGAAACACUGUGUUUGCCAUUACACAGUGGGUGUUUUUGGGAUGUGACUGAAGUCAGCCUGAGUCCAAUGAAAAUUCUGAACUUCUUCUGGAAUUAUGGUGAAGGACAAACUCUUUUUGGGUUGUAAACCUGGCAAUGUGAGGAAGAAUCUUAUUGUAGUGGGAGAAUGUGCCUGAGGAUGCAGCCAACACAAUAAAAAGCAGAGUCCAGUAGAUGAAGAGCAAUAGUGUUCUGAUGAUGUCACUUAAAGCACCAAGAUCCAGCCAUGCCUGAAGUUGAUAUACCCUUUUCAGUUAUUAAAAAAAUCAACAAAACCCCUUUUUAAAAGUAAGCUAGUUUAAACUGGAUUUCUUUCACUUAUGUCCAAAAGAGUUCUAAUUCAUACAAAGCCCUCAUUUUAUAGGCUUAGGAAACUGACACCAAGGACGAUGGC